RNAcentral lists this unclassified non-coding RNA (364 nucleotides) under uncultured fungus. RNAcentral describes it as "partial contains 5.8S ribosomal RNA and internal transcribed spacer 2". The stretch from base 1 to 133 matches the Rfam family "5.8S ribosomal RNA", at positions 22 to 154 of the family's 154-position model. Lineage: Eukaryota; Fungi. The record is from RNAcentral.
UGGCUCUCGCAUCGAUGAAGAACGCAGCGAAAUGCGAUAAGUAAUGUGAAUUGCAGAAUUCAGUGAAUCAUCGAAUCUUUGAACGCACCUUGCGCUCCUUGGCAUUCCGAGGAGCAUGCCUGUUUGAGUGUCACGUGAAACCCUCACACUCGCGAUGUUAACAUGUCGCGAGCCGUGGAUUUGGACCGUGCCGUUGUUGGCUCGUCCUGAAAUGUAUUAGCCGUGCGUGUCUUGCUUAUGCGCCUCCCGGUGUGAUAAUUAUCUACGCCGUCACGGGGACAAAACGCCUGACUGCGGCUCAAAACCGUCUUCGGACAACUUUCAUUAACGCUCUGGCCUCAAAUCAGGCAGGACUACCCGCUGA